Molecule: non-coding RNA, 31 nt
Organism: Helianthus annuus (common sunflower)
Lineage: Eukaryota; Viridiplantae; Streptophyta; Magnoliopsida; Asterales; Asteraceae
Source: Rfam
GCAUAAUCUGCAUCAGUGUAUGCAAUUAGUU